GUUUUGCUUAAGUUUGAGCACAUGCAUCACUUUGCGUGAGAAAAGGGUGCCGGUUUCACUGGGUGUGGAUGUGAGGGCGGCUCUUAACGAGCGCCGAUUCACUAAUGAUCCUUCCGCAGGUUCACCUACGGAACGCUCAGGACAGACCCAAGGGAUCUGUCCAUUUCCUGUCUAUUAGGACAAGAGCCGACCAUAUCUUAAGCCCGGAGGCCCACCGACAUCUGGCCUGUGAACCUGCGCUGACGCAGGCUGCGGAUUGUCCCUCUGGAGCGUUUGAAACCAUACCCGGUUGAACCCGGAGCUGACAAUGCAGCUGGUACGUCCCAGACUAGGAGUUCCCCGCAUGUUGAAGGUGUCGCCUGGCGCCAGACUAGCGUGGACUAUUCAAGGCUUCAAUAGGCUACGGAAA
This 409-nucleotide unclassified non-coding RNA is filed under the name uncultured fungus. RNAcentral describes it as "sequence contains ITS1". Lineage: Eukaryota; Fungi. The record is from RNAcentral.